RNAcentral lists this ribosomal RNA (484 nucleotides) under uncultured bacterium. RNAcentral's name for it is "partial 16S ribosomal RNA". It matches the Rfam family "Bacterial small subunit ribosomal RNA", at positions 30 to 507 of the family's 1533-position model. The record is from RNAcentral.
AUUGAACGCUGGCGGCAGGCCUAACACAUGCAAGUCGAGCGGAUGAAGGGAGCUUGCUCCUGGAUUCAGCGGCGGACGGGUGAGUAAUUCCUAGGAAUCUGCCUGGUAGUGGGGGAUAACGUCCGGAAACGGGCGCUAAUACCGCAUACGUCCUGAGGGAGAAAGUGGGGGAUCUUCGGACCUCACGCUAUCAGAUGAGCCUAGGUCGGAUUAGCUAGUUGGUGGGGUAAAGGCCUACCAAGGCGACGAUCCGUAACUGGUCUGAGAGGAUGAUCAGUCACACUGGAACUGAGACACGGUCCAGACUCCUACGGGAGGCAGCAGUGGGGAAUAUUGGACAAUGGGCGAAAGCCUGAUCCAGCCAUGCCGCGUGUGUGAAGAAGGUCUUCGGAUUGUAAAGCACUUUAAGUUGGGAGGAAGGGCAGUAAGUUAAUACCUUGCUGUUUUGACGUUACCAGCAGAAUAAGCACCGGCUAACUUCGUG